UGAGUAGGUCGGAUGGUCGCGGACGCAAUGCCUAAAGGCUGCGUACGAGGAAAGUCCGGGCUCCAUAGGGCAAAGGUGCCGGGUAACACCCGGUGAAGGCGACUUCAAGGAUAGUGCAACAGAAAUAAACCGCCAUGCUUCAGGUUGGAGAUGAAAGGUCUUUCUUUUCACCUCCGACCCGGGCAUGGUAAGGAUGGAAAGGUGAGGUAAGAGCUCACCGACCCUACGGCGACGAUGGGUGCUAUGUAAACCCCACCUGGAGCAACACCGUGACAAGGAACGAUAAGGCUGCCCGUCUGUUCCUUAGAGGUGGCUAAAGCCUUGUAGUAAUACAAGGCAUAGACAGAUGAUCAUUCAAGACAGAACCCGGCUUACAGAUCUGCUCAUUUU
This 390-nucleotide RNase P RNA is filed under the name Clostridiaceae bacterium. RNAcentral describes it as "RNase P RNA component class A". It matches the Rfam family "Bacterial RNase P class A". Rfam says of the family: Ribonuclease P (RNase P) is a ubiquitous endoribonuclease, found in archaea, bacteria and eukarya as well as chloroplasts and mitochondria. Lineage: Bacteria; Bacillati; Bacillota; Clostridia; Eubacteriales; Clostridiaceae. The record is from RNAcentral.